Molecule: ribosomal RNA, 479 nt
Filed under: Streptococcus sp. oral taxon 074
Lineage: Bacteria; Bacillati; Bacillota; Bacilli; Lactobacillales; Streptococcaceae
Description: bacterial SSU rRNA
Rfam family: Bacterial small subunit ribosomal RNA
Source: RNAcentral
GAUGAACGCUGGCGGCGUGCCUAAUACAUGCAAGUAGAACGCUGAAGCUUGGUGCUUGCACCGAGCGGAUGAGUUGCGAACGGGUGAGUAACGCGUAGGUAACCUGCCUGGUAGCGGGGGAUAACUAUUGGAAACGAUAGCUAAUACCGCAUGACAACAGUUAUUGCAUGAUAACUGUUUAAAAGGGGCAAUUGCUCCACUACCAGAUGGACCUGCGUUGUAUUAGCUAGUUGGUGAGGUAACGGCUCACCAAGGCGACGAUACAUAGCCGACCUGAGAGGGUGAUCGGCCACACUGGGACUGAGACACGGCCCAGACUCCUACGGGAGGCAGCAGUAGGGAAUCUUCGGCAAUGGACGGAAGUCUGACCGAGCAACGCCGCGUGAGUGAAGAAGGUUUUCGGAUCGUAAAGCUCUGUUGUAAGAGAAGAACGAGUGUGAGAGUGGAAAGUUCACACUGUGACGUAUCUACCAGAAAGG